UGACAGUUCCCAGAUAAUCUAUGACCCCAGGGAUCUUGGCUUCAGCAGAGUCAGUAUAUAUCUUAUUAAUAAGAUUCUUCUCAGAAAACUUUAGUGAUUCAACCUCCUCAGUGAUUCAACCUCCUCAGCAGAUAAGCAUGCCUUAAUUUUUCCUUUUACAAACUCCAACUCACGGAAUAAAGCGUUGAUUUUUUUCAUGUCCUUCUCCACCAAAUCUAAGAAAACUUGCUGUCGACGCUUUACAGGAAGUUCAGAAAGAACAUCCUUUUUAAGUCUGCGAAUCAUAACU
Molecule: unclassified non-coding RNA, 289 nt
Filed under: Hevea brasiliensis (rubber tree)
Lineage: Eukaryota; Viridiplantae; Streptophyta; Magnoliopsida; Malpighiales; Euphorbiaceae
Source: RNAcentral